Molecule: long non-coding RNA, 1309 nt
Organism: Nyctereutes procyonoides (raccoon dog)
Lineage: Eukaryota; Metazoa; Chordata; Mammalia; Carnivora; Canidae
Exons: 6
Source: RefSeq, a predicted model, not a curated record
CCCGCAGAGGGCAGCAGAGGCUCACGCCGGGCCGCCCGCGUGCCCACGGCGCUCUGGUGUGCCUUGACUCGCUUCCAGCCCCAGUGGUGGACGCCUAGGGUCCCAGAGCACCCGGGCGGGGCUCCUCGGGCAGAGCUCCUCGGGCAGAGCCGGGCCUUGCGGGGAGAGGGGAUGCCCGGAUCACCUGAGGACCCACAGCCUCCUUCCUCCAGUUAGCCACUUUGGAAACUCAGGUGGGACUGGACGCGUGCAGCACCCCAGGCUGAGAAGUCGGUGGUGUCACCAUCAGGGGGAGUCGUGUUCUGCUUUGUGCAUCGGCCCGCGCAGGAAUGUGACAAGAGUACGGAGGGCAGCGGGGAGAGAUGGGCCAAGGAACAUCUUAGAGACCUUGUUCAGAUUCAGGAGGGAAGGAGACAAUCCUGACGCCAACGAGAUGCAUGGCUGUGACCAUUCAUGCAGCAGUCAACAAGAGCGAGGUGAGGUGUGGACAGGCGGGCAGGCCGCGGGGCUCCCGGGGAGCAGCCGUCUGCCCUUGGGCGCAUGAAGGACCGGGACGGGUGCCUGCGUGAUGCGUGGUGGCUGGAACAGAUGUGCCUGCGGGAGUACACACUGUCUCGGGCAGGUGUGCGGGGGCAGCCAGCCUCCCAUGAACGCAGACCUUCUUCAUCUCACACUUUUUGAUUCAGCAAACAUCGGGGAUUUGGGAGGGCUUCCCAGGAGGCAAGCACUCGGGUUGGAGGAGCUUUUGCCUACAGCCUACAGGACGUCUCCCGGCAGCCCUGUUCACUCGCAGGCCGCGGGAUCCAUGGAACAUGGUGCUGCGUGGCCAGCACUGCUCACUGUUCCUGCUGCAGUCACUAGGUAUUGGCAGGACUCAAGCCUGCCCAACUUUUUGUAAUAAGAGCAAGGACGCAUAGGAUUCCUUCCGCUUGCCUCUCAACACCUCGCACCUACGCAGAUGGAAACACACCUUCUGAUCUGUCCGUGGCAGGGAAUGGAAUUCGUGACUCCACACAGAGAAGCAAUCUUGGAGCUGCUUAGACAGGCUGUUGACCUCCUCAUUGGCCCUCCCGUUUCCAGAGUGAGCCCGUGCAGAUGGCCACUGACACGACAGCUACACCUGGUCACCGAGCACAGAAAUGCACCUCAUGCAGAAUUUUGCAGGAUUUAAGAUAUUUCAUAGCAACAAUGAUUCCGCCUGGGGUACGUGAGAGGAAAUGGCUAGUUCUACAGGGAGCUUUAUGGAUGCCCCUGCACUGAACUCCCGCAGCCUGAGCGCAGCAGACCCUCUGCGGUGGUGGGACCUGGC